Molecule: ribosomal RNA, 491 nt
Filed under: uncultured bacterium
Lineage: Bacteria
Description: partial 16S ribosomal RNA
Rfam family: Bacterial small subunit ribosomal RNA
Source: RNAcentral
AGUGAACGCUGGCGGUAGGCCUAACACAUGCAAGUCGAACGGCAGCACAGUAAGAGCUUGCUCUUACGGGUGGCGAGUGGCGGACGGGUGAGGAAUACAUCGGAAUCUACUUUUUCGUGGGGGAUAACGUAGGGAAACUUACGCUAAUACCGCAUACGACCUACGGGUGAAAGCAGGGGAUCUUCGGACCUUGCGCGAUUGAAUGAGCCGAUGUCGGAUUAGCUAGUUGGCGGGGUAAAGGCCCACCAAGGCGACGAUCCGUAGCUGGUCUGAGAGGAUGAUCACCACCAUGGAAAUUGAGACAGGGCCAGACUCCUACGGGAGGCAGCAGUGGGGAAUAUUGGACAAUGGGCGCAAGCCUGAUCCAGCCAUACCGCGUGGGUGAAGAAGGCCUUCGGGUUGUAAAGCCCUUUUGUUGGGAAAGAAAAGCAGCAGGUUAAUACCCCGCUGUUCUGACGGUACCCAAAGAAUAAGCACCGGCUAACUUCGUG